AGUGAACGCUGGCGGUAGGCCUAACACAUGCAAGUCGAACGGCAGCACAGUAAGAGCUUGCUCUUACGGGUGGCGAGUGGCGGACGGGUGAGGAAUACAUCGGAAUCUACUUUUUCGUGGGGGAUAACGUAGGGAAACUUACGCUAAUACCGCAUACGACCUGCGGGUGAAAGCAGGGGAUCUUCGGACCUUGCACGAUUGAAUGAGCCGAUGUCGGAUUAGCUAGUUGGCGGGGUAAAGGCCCACCAAGGCGACGAUCCGUAGCUGGUCUGAGAGGAUGAUCAGCCACACUGGAACUGAGACACGGUCCAGACUCCUACGGGAGGCAGCAGUGGGGAAUAUUGGACAAUGGGCGCAAGCCUGAUCCAGCCAUACCGCGUGGGUGAAGAAGGCCUUCGGGUUGUAAAGCCCUUUUGUUGGGAAAGAAAAGCAGCAGGUUAAUACCCCGCUGUUCUGACGGUACCCAAAGAAUAAGCACCGGCUAACUUCGUG
Molecule: ribosomal RNA, 492 nt
Filed under: uncultured bacterium
Lineage: Bacteria
Description: partial 16S ribosomal RNA
Rfam family: Bacterial small subunit ribosomal RNA
Source: RNAcentral